This 460-nucleotide ribosomal RNA is filed under the name uncultured bacterium. Its description in RNAcentral is "partial 16S ribosomal RNA". It matches the Rfam family "Bacterial small subunit ribosomal RNA", at positions 28 to 507 of the family's 1533-position model. The record is from RNAcentral.
GACGAACGCUGGCGGCGUGCUUAACACAUGCAAGUCGAGCGGUAAGGCCUCUUCGGGGGUACACGAGCGGCGAACGGGUGAGUAACACGUGGGUGACCUGCCUUCCGCUCUGGGAUAAGUCUGGGAAACUGGGUCUAAUACCGGAUAUGACCUUUCCUCGCAUGGGGUUUGGUGGUAAGUGUUUUCGGCGGGGGAUGGGCCGGCGGCCUAUCAGCUUGUUGGUGGGGUGAUGGCCUACCAAGGCGACGACGGGUAGCCGGCCUGAGAGGGCGACCGGCCAGGCAGGGACAGAGGGACGGCACAGACUCCUACGGGAGGCGGCAGUGGGGAAUAUUGCGCGACGGACGGAAGCCUGACGCAGCGACGGCGCGUGGGGGAUGACGUCCGUCUGGUUGUAAACCUCUCUCGACCCCGACGAAGUUGGACGGUAGGGGGAGAAGAAGCACCGGCCAACUACGUG